GUCUCAAAAAGUACCCGUCGAUCGUCUCCGACUUCCCUUCAGAUUAUAAUUUUGAGGAUCUAUAUUCAAGCUGUCUUCAUUUAAGCUGCCUAAUGGCGGGUGAGAGAAAUUUUCUAGUGAAGAAAAAGGAGAGCGUGCCAGAAUGGCAUCAUUUGUUGGUGCAAUGGCAAUUGCUGACUUGGUCAAGACAACGUUAGGACCAAAAGGGAUGGACAAAAUUUUGCAGUCAACAGGCAGAGGACGUGAAGUUACUGUUACAAAUGAUGGGGC
This 270-nucleotide unclassified non-coding RNA is filed under the name Hevea brasiliensis (rubber tree). The record is from RNAcentral. Lineage: Eukaryota; Viridiplantae; Streptophyta; Magnoliopsida; Malpighiales; Euphorbiaceae.